UCCUCUUCCCCCACCGUGCCUCUCCUCGUCUGCUUGAAAACGACAUGAGAACUCGAGCGGUGACUACGCUGUCGUCGCCGUUCCCACGGCCUACGAGCUCCCCGGCGCUUGUAGAGUUGUCCCGAAGAGCCGCAACAGUCGUCUUCAUCAUCUACGCCGCUGGAUCGGAGCCGUGGAGCAACACCAUCGUCGUCCACGUCAAUCCCCUUCAACGAACAUCGCCUCUGCCUUGCCGUCGAUCCCCUCGUCUCCAGCUGCCUCCGGUUCCCCUGAGCUCCUACGAACCCCCCCUGUGAGCUCCUCCUCCGACUCCCGGCCUUGCCCCCGUCGAUCUAUCGCUGUAGAGUCACCCCGCGAGCUCGCGCCCACCGUGGCCGAAGCCCUGCCGCAACCGCACCGGGCUCACCCCCGUACAGGCUCGCCGCACCCAUGUUCGUGCUCCCUGGCGCGUCCGACCGUGCCUAACCCCCCACGCGCGCGCCGAGCGCCUGGCACGCUUGCGCUGGCCUCGCCUACCCUGCUCCCUGGCCGCCCGACGCUGCCGCCGCGGCCCUGUUUCCCCGUGCACCCGUGUCCGCUAGCUGCCGCGGCGCUGCUGCCUGCACCCCCGCACACGCCAGGUCGAGCCUCCCCACGCGCGCGUACACUGUUGGCUGCUGCCGCGCGCGCACGCCCCGCCGUGGCCUUGCCACCGCCCCUGGAUAGCGCCCUGGCCGCCUCGUGCGCGCCCUGGGUUUAUACCUCGCCCCGCGCUUGCAGCCGCUCAUCGUCGCGCAGCGCUGCUGCUGCUGCCGUUUUGCUGCUGCCACUGCUACAGUGAACUGAACUUCACUGUAGGGUUGGCUAGCUUUACUGAAAUAAUGCUGAUUAGCCCUCUGUGUAGCUUCAAAAUAACAGCAAAGCAAAUUUUAUUAUGGGAAAUAUUUAUAUGGGUGUGUAGUACACUUGACAGGGUCCAAUUAAUUCCAUUGGACCAAAUCCAAAAAUCACCUAGAUUAAUUCCUAUGAAAAUGAGAAAAGUCUAUGUUCUGUUAACUGGAAGAACUAGUAACGGAUAUACUGCCAUAUCAAAUUUGGAGCAGAAAGUAAACAAGUUACAGGGAUCUAACAGAGAUGCAAUUGAUACCAUCUUGUAGACCACAGGAAAAUGAUCAAUAUUGGUAUAAGGCAUCAAUUCAUAGUUUGAAUAGAACACUAGUUAUAGCCUAUGGAAAACCACUAAAUGAUGUUUAAAACUGAGGACUUGGCAGAAUUUCAGUAAUUUCAGAAAAUGCCUAAAACUUCCAAAAUUCGUAGAAAAUUAACCGUAACUCCGGUCGAAAAACUUUAUAUAUGAAAGUUGCUCAGAAAGACGAGAUGAAUCCGAAUAUACCCACCUCAUACCUGCCACAUGCCUCUAGCAUGAUGAACAUGGAACUUUCCUCUCCGUUUCAUUUGUCCGAUAAUCACCCGGAGCUGAGAUAGUUUCCCACUCCCAUAACUUGUGUAGUACCAUGUUAGGGCACUCCUCGUAUAACAUGCUGUCGUGCCAUGCUUGUGUGAUUGCUUUUACUGCGUAUAUUUAUUUGUUUCCUUCCCCUCUUCUCUUUGAUAGACCCUGAGACCCAUGACGACCGAUGAUCGUCUACCUCGUCGAAGACCCAUUGAUGACUGCAAAGCAACCAGGCAAGCACCCCCUUUAAGCAUUCCGAUAUCGCCUAUUCUCUUCUCUCUUACGCUUGCAUUAGAAAUUGCUGUUGUUAUUGCUUUACCUAUUUUGAUGCAUAGCCUGAUCUUGUAACCUGCUAUUGUUACCUACCUGUUUAUCCUAAACUGCUUAGUAUAGGCUAGUUAGAGACCCAUCAGAGACUCCAUGUUGACCUAACUGCCCUGCUGGAUUAUCAGAAGACCCGAUCAACGAGAUUGAAGACCAGGACCCGGCACCGCACAACACUCCCCUUAGUUGUACGACACUGCAACGUUACUAUCGAGUGCCCAUGGUGAUACCUCGUUAGCACUUUUGAUGCUAGCUCUAUGGAGUAGUUACCCGGUCGUGGUCAUCGAGGGUGAUUCCUCCUUUUCCAGUUCCCACAAUGACCCUGUCGUGCAACACCUCAAGUAUGAGCCUCGAGGGUGAUUUCCUCUUAUGUUCACCUUGAUGUUUACAUCAGUUGGGAGUCCAAUGAGGGUGAUGCCUCGGGUUCCUUCUUGUUGUGGUAGCCACAUGGAUUGCCUUUACAUUACUAUUGUUACUCCUUAAAGUGGAUAAAGACGGGUCGGCCCUGAGGGGUACCCGGGCAAGCAUGUGAUGCGAGUGAUGUGGAGACGGGUUGACUUGGAGGGUGCCCGCGAGUUAAUGAUGAGGCAUGGUCGGGCAUUCUUAGCCCAUGCCGCAAGUCCUCGAGAUGGGGCAACGGGGUCACAUCGAUCGUGAGUCUCUGCUCGUUAUCGCAAGCUCCUAAUCCACUAACGCUUUGGAUAUUUGAUCCGAGGGGCCUCUGUCCUGUAGCACCAACCACCAUGCAGGAAUAAGUAUGGGCACUCUGCAUCGUAAGUAUCAGCCGAGAGCUGACUGACAUUAACGAUGGAGCGGCGCGCACCGAGUUGAACUGCGUAAGCACCUGCCUUAUGUAAAGGAGGUUGCCAGGUGUGCUGACCGGCCGCCCUCGCAACACGUGUGAUUGCGAAGGAUGAUUUACUCAUGACCCCUUCGCAUUUUGGAUGUAGACCGGCGUGCUGGCCUCUCUAUUGAGCCUAGGUAGGACUAUGGUGUGUUGAUCGGCCGAGGCCGGUCAUGACCUGAUGGUGUGUCCAACCGGAGUUGAUCAAGCGUGUUGCAUAAGUUGGUGCAUCCCUGUAGGGAACAAAACAUCUAUCGAUAGCCUGUCCUAUGGUAAUGGACACUUGGAGUUGUAUCCCGAUCAAUACAACUAGAACUGGAUACUUGAGAUGAGAAAUGUAUAGUAUGGCUCUGGGAUUGCUUUCUCGCAGGGAGUCAAGGAAGGAUCUCUGGGCGAGGUUGAUGAAACUACUAGUACUUUACUUUAUGCUACUCUACACUCUUCUAAUGAUGCAAGACCGCUGAAGAUGCUAGUCUUCGAUAGGACUAGGCUAUCCCCUCUAUUCUGGCAUUUCUGUAGCCCAGUCCACAUAUACAGCCUUCCUUUGAUAAUGUUGCAUAUGUAGUGUAGAUCCUUGCUUGUUGAGUACUUUGGAUGAGUACUCACGUUUGCUUUGCUUUCUUUUCCCCCAUAUACGUUUGAUGCAACCAGAUGAUGGAGCCCCUGAGACCGAUGCCCCCGCCAACGACUACCACUACUACGUCGAGGGUGGCUACUUCUAUGAGGAGCCGUCCAACGACCAGGAGUAGGAUCGGAGGGUCCUAGGCAGGAGGCCUACACCUUCCGAUCGAAGCUUUUAUUUUGCCCCACCUUUCUAAAGGCUUAUCUGUUGCUUCGUAUUAUCUUUACUCAGAUAUCUGAUGCUUCCGCUGACACUUUUAUGCCAUCGAGCUAUGUAUUCGAGCCCUCGAGGCCCUG
RNAcentral lists this long non-coding RNA (3518 nucleotides) under Triticum aestivum (bread wheat). Its description in RNAcentral is "long non-coding RNA (TAES_LNC022437)". Lineage: Eukaryota; Viridiplantae; Streptophyta; Magnoliopsida; Poales; Poaceae. The record is from RNAcentral.